Molecule: long non-coding RNA, 1723 nt
Organism: Pleuronectes platessa (European plaice)
Lineage: Eukaryota; Metazoa; Chordata; Actinopteri; Pleuronectiformes; Pleuronectidae
Exons: 3
Source: RefSeq, a predicted model, not a curated record
GAAAAGGCCAAGACCGAAAAGUCCAGAAUAACUUAGCACAUGCAAUCCGGCAUCUUCGGGCUGAACAGCACAUUGAAUAUUAAAGGAUCAGCCGAUGCUGCUGUGGCAGCUGGAGCGGCACGAGAGGGUCUGGAAAGGAUGGCUGCAGCUAAUGAAGAGAGAUGUAGCAGAGGAGGAGGACGGCAGCCAACCUGCUGCUGCGGGGGAGCCAGCCUGAGCAGAAGCAACAGAGCCACUGGGGAUUCCUCCAGCCCACACUUUAACAUGGAGCCUUCAGAGAAGGAGAGGUGUCGUGCUUGCUUAAGGAGGUGCUAACCUCACCGUCUUGUGCAGUUCCCAGUGACAGAGGGAGAAGGACUUGCCCUGAGUGAAGGAGCUUGUGGCGAGCUCAUCGAUCAAAGACCGGGAAAUGUCAGGUGGCAAGUACAAGGCAGAGUUGGGGGUUUUUUGCGCAAUAUGCUGGAGCUACACCUCACAAGCUAUUACAGUGAAUUCAAAUGUAUUCGGUCAUAUAUUCAAUUAAAAGAGAGGUUAGAAAAAUGAUUUGCAAAUGAUUUCAUAUACAAUUUAAUGAUCGUGAUUCUUUUAAAAGUUACUUCAUGUUGAUAUAAAGCAAACUGGAGGUUCAGCCAGGUGUGUGACUGGCAGCUUCUCUGUCAAUAAUUUCUGUUCUAAAUGCCACCAGGAUACAGCAAAUUAGCAAAUUAUUCAUUAACACACAUUUAACAAGUCGGUACAUUAAUUGCAAAGGGUUUGGAAUACUGCCAGAAAUACUGUAUUUCCACAGAAAAUCAUUAAAUCGGAAAAAUGCUUUGUCACCACUGAUUUCUGUAUAAAUAAAGCAAUGUUUAAUUAAUGCUGUAAGAUGGCAUCAAACAAAAUCAGUGAAGGAAUUCAACCACAAACCCCAACAUCUUCUCCUGAGAACUGAUUUCCCAUGUUGCCCACAUCUUAUUCUGUGGCUGUGGAGUAAAGCUGAAACCAUUAGCAACUAUUUUGAUCAUCUUCAAAAUGUAUACAGGUCCAGCUAUUAGACAUAUUCUUAUUUAAUAGGAAACUGAAAUUAAUAAAUCUUUGCGUUUUGAUGUUGAAUCUGCUUCUACUCGUCUGAUCAAUUGUUAAUUAAAAUAAUAUUUAGUUGCAAACCUAUGACUCCCAACAAUUUUCACCAAACAGAAACUACAAAUUACUGUAAAAACACAUAUUCAAAAGUCUGUUGCGAGAAACACAAAUCUCAGACAGAAAUGAUUAUCCGAAAAGAAUUGCCUGUCUACUGUGCACCAAAAUACAAACUCUGAUAAUGUGUCUGGGGUAGGCGGCAAAAUCAAUAAAUCAAUGAAAGGUUGGACCUCAAUUAUCUAUAUAAGAACAAUAUAAUUUCCAUCUAGAAUGUUCACUAAGAUUCUGUAACUAAAAAUGAAGAAGAUAUGAAUCCAUGAAGAGAUACUGUUUAAAGCCCUGUGGUUAAUGUGCUUCUUCUGUGAAAUAUCUUUCUGAGUGGCUGACGCUGGUGACCUGAAGUGUUCCAGAAUCAAGCAGGUAACUGCAGUUUAACAUCCAAAUGUUAAACUAAUUACUCUCUCCCCCUCUGAAAAAUGUACCGCACUGUGGAGCGGAGGGCCACUGCAGGAUGCCACUUUACAGCACAAGGAGGAAAUAUUCCACCCUAUGCAACAUAAACAAGAUGCAAUGAUGUGCUGCAGAGGAGAGGACAAAAAGAGAA